AUUGAACGCUGGCGGCAGGCCUAACACAUGCAAGUCGAACGAGUGGCGGACGGGUGAGUAAUGUCUGGGAAACUGCCUGAUGGAGGGGGAUAACUACUGGAAACGGUAGCUAAUACCGCAUACCAUCGGAUGUGCCCAGAUGGGAUUAGCUAGUAGGUGGGGGAAAGGCUCACAUAGGCGACGAUCCCUAGCUGGUCUGAGAGGAGGACACGCAACACUGGAACUGAGAAACGGGCCAGAAUCCGACGGGAGGCAGUAGUGGGGAAUAUUGCACAAUGGGCGCAAGCCUGAGGCAGCCAUGCCGCGUGUAUGAAGAAGGCCUUCGGGUUGUAAAGUACUUUCAGCGGGGAGGCGUUACCCGCAGAAGAAGCACCGGCUAACUCCGUGCCAGCAGCCGCGGUAAUUC
RNAcentral lists this ribosomal RNA (406 nucleotides) under uncultured bacterium. RNAcentral's name for it is "partial 16S ribosomal RNA". It matches the Rfam family "Bacterial small subunit ribosomal RNA", at positions 29 to 526 of the family's 1533-position model. The record is from RNAcentral.